RNAcentral lists this transfer RNA (71 nucleotides) under Agalychnis moreletii (black-eyed leaf frog). RNAcentral's name for it is "tRNA-Ile". It matches the Rfam family "tRNA". From Rfam's summary of the family: Transfer RNA (tRNA) molecules are approximately 80 nucleotides in length. The record is from RNAcentral. Lineage: Eukaryota; Metazoa; Chordata; Amphibia; Anura; Hylidae.
GGAAAAGUGCCUGAAAGUUAAGGAUCUCCUUGAUAAGGGGAAAAAUAGGGGUUCAAACCCCCUCUCUUCCU